GCAAACUUGGUCAUUUAGAGGAAGUAAAAGUCGUAACAAGGUCUCCGUUGGUGAACCAGCGGAGGGAUCAUUAUAGAGUUUUUACAACUCCCCAACCCUUUGUGAACUUUGUUCUCUAUUUCUGCUUCGACAGGUGGUCCCAGGGCGGGACCAGCGCCCGUCUAACCAGGCGGGCACCUGUCAGAGGUGGAACAAGACUCUGUUUUUCAAUGAGUAUCUGAGUGGUUUAUAAAAUAAGUUAAAACUUUCAACAACGGAUCUCUUGGUUCUGGCAUCGAUGAAGAACGCAGC
RNAcentral lists this unclassified non-coding RNA (291 nucleotides) under uncultured fungus. RNAcentral's name for it is "partial contains small subunit ribosomal RNA, internal transcribed spacer 1, and 5.8S ribosomal RNA". The stretch from base 1 to 73 matches the Rfam family "Eukaryotic small subunit ribosomal RNA", at positions 1759 to 1831 of the family's 1831-position model. The record is from RNAcentral. Lineage: Eukaryota; Fungi.